Molecule: ribosomal RNA, 510 nt
Filed under: Philarius rufus
Lineage: Eukaryota; Metazoa; Arthropoda; Malacostraca; Decapoda; Palaemonidae
Description: partial large subunit ribosomal RNA
Rfam family: Archaeal large subunit ribosomal RNA
Source: RNAcentral
CUGAUGUAAUAUUAAAGGGCCGCGGUAAUUUGACCGUGCGAAGGUAGCAUAAUCAUUUGUCCUUUAAUUGGGGGCUGGAAUGAACGGUUGGAUGAGGGGUCAAGUGUCUCUGUAUUAUAAUUAGAAUUUUACUUUUAAGUGAAAAGGCUUAAAUUUGAUUAAGUGAAGAUAAGACCCUAUAAAACUUAUAUAAAGAGGGGUCACACCGUAUUUAAUAUAGUUUAAAAUCGGCUGGUCCAUACUAUAUUUUGUUGGGGCGACAAUGAUAGAAUAAGUAUCUGUUGUUUUUAAUAUGUUAGUGAUAAUUAAAAGGUGAGCCUUUCAUAAGGAUUAAAAGAUCAAGUUACUUUAGGGAUAACAGCGUGAUUUUCUUUGAGAGACCUAAUCGACAAGAAUAGUUGCGACCUCGAUGUUGAAUUAAAAUUUCCUAUAAAGUGCAGAAGCUUUUUUAGUAAGUCUGUUCGACUUUUAAAAUUUUACAUGAUUUGAGUUCAAACCGGUGUGAGCCAG